AGAGCAUGCAAGAAAACUGGUACAAUUAUUUUCAUUUUGUCAAGUUACAGUUUUUUCAACGUUAUUCCUCUAGCAAUAACUUUGAUGGAUGUGAUUUCAAUUUUAGGCAACUGUUCUAGGACGGCCACCUCAUCCACACGAACUUUUAAAGAAGACACAUACCAAAAGAAACGAUGAGUUUGUGGAUCUGAAGUCUAAGAGCACAUAUGUAAGUAACACCAAACAUUGCUGAUUAUCUUUCUUAAUUUUUGUUGAGAAUUUACUUAGUCGUCAUUCAUCAUGUUUAUCCCAAAUAUUAAACACAUGGUUAUAAUAUUUGAAGAUUAUAAUGAGGGAG
RNAcentral lists this long non-coding RNA (337 nucleotides) under Solanum tuberosum (potato). RNAcentral's name for it is "long non-coding RNA (STUB_LNC007158)". The record is from RNAcentral. Lineage: Eukaryota; Viridiplantae; Streptophyta; Magnoliopsida; Solanales; Solanaceae.